CCUACGGGCGGCUGCAGUGGGGAAUAUUGGACAAUGGGCGAAAGCCUGAUCCAGCCAUGCCGCGUGUGUGAAGAAGGCCUUCGGGUUGUAAAGCACUUUCAGUGGGGAAGAAAGCCUUGGGGCUAAUACCCUCGAGGAAGGACAUCACCCACAGAAGAAGCACCGGCUAACUCCGUGCCAGCAGCCGCGGUAAUACGGAGGGUGGAGCGUUAAUCGGAAUUACUGGGCGUAAAGCGCGCGUAGGCGGUCUGAUAAGCCGGUUGUGAAAGCCCCGGGCUCAACCUGGGAACGGCAUCCGGAACUGUCAGGCUAGGGUGCAGGAGAGGAAGGUAGAAUUCCCGGUGUAGCGGUGAAAUGCGUAGAGAUCGGGAGGAAUACCAGUGGCGAAGGCGGCCUUCUGGACUGACACUGACGCUGAGGUGCGAAAGCGUGGGUAGCAAACAGGAUUAGAUACCCGGUAGUC
RNAcentral lists this ribosomal RNA (463 nucleotides) under Vreelandella stevensii. RNAcentral describes it as "partial 16S ribosomal RNA". It matches the Rfam family "Bacterial small subunit ribosomal RNA", at positions 338 to 795 of the family's 1533-position model. Lineage: Bacteria; Pseudomonadati; Pseudomonadota; Gammaproteobacteria; Oceanospirillales; Halomonadaceae. The record is from RNAcentral.